This is a long non-coding RNA of Homo sapiens (human), 3043 nucleotides long. RefSeq lists it as uncharacterized. Lineage: Eukaryota; Metazoa; Chordata; Mammalia; Primates; Hominidae. The record is from RefSeq and is a predicted model, not a curated record. The transcript is spliced from 2 exons.
AUUCAUUAAUUUUUAUUUAAAUAUUUUCCUUUGUUGGGUAUACCUGGAGUGUCCUUUGUAGAGCCCCCGAUUAGGCUCUGUCAGUGUGAUAAAACAAAUAGUUUUAACUAGAAAAGGGAAAGCAUGGGUCCACAUUCUGUUAUAAAUGGAUGGUACUUUAAUUCAUUUCCCCACCUCCCUAAACAUGGACCAAAGUGGACUAGAUUAUUUUGCAAGCUGGGUAGAAAUUCAUGCCUAAGGUCAUGCCCUUUCAUGUUUACCAGUGAAUUAUCUUUCUCCAAUUUUCUAUUGUGCAUCUGGGAAAAUUAUGCUUACAUAUCCAAUGUAAAGAAAACAUUGAGUUUAUAUAGAUUUGAAACCAAGGGGGUUUAGUAUAUAGUAAACAUAAGAAUAAAUCUUACCAGUUUUGAUUCUCAUUAGUUAAGGCUUUGUGGCAACUGUGUCCUGUUUGAUUUUAUAUUUCUAUAAGUGUGAAGAAAGGUUUCUUGUACCAUGGUAGACAAAAUUGCUUUGAAAUUAUUUUAAGCCUGAUGAAAGUUGUAGGGUCUGCUCUGCAAGCAGAAUAUACUGAAAAUUUGCUAUUAAAUUGUGAAUGUUGUGGUUUGCUCUAGCAGCCUAUUUAGUAGCAUUGUAGUAAUCAUGUAGAUUAUAUUCAGAACUCAGGUAAGAGGAAUUGUAGAGAAAAUUGUUUUGGGGGCGGGGGAAAUGGGGAGAUUGGGGAAUGGCAACUAGAGAGAGGUGUCAUAGUUCAUUUAAAAUCAUGUUCUUAUAAGUUGUUUUACUUAGGCCUAAAAGAAUAGAGGGCAUGUGCCAGGGAAUUGAAUACCCUUGUAUAUGUAGUGCCAUUUCCUUGCUCUCCCUUUAAUUGCUAUUUCCGGUUUGUUUCUCAGGUACUUACAAGAGAUGUAUCCUGGGAAGAAACAGGGUGGCAGAGUUUAGGGCCUUUGGGACUGAAUUAGUCUUAAACCUGAGAACCCAGGAGGAUUUUGACCGAACUGAUUUGGGUAUCUCCAUACAGCCAAGAAUAAAGAAAGAAAGGGAUAGAUGGAAUGAGUUUCAUCGUGAUUCUAAGUAUCCAGGAAUAAUUUAAAAUUAUUUAUCACUGUGGAUUUAAGCAUCUGGAUUUAUUUAUUUUACAAAUACUUAACAUUUUGUUGUUUUGCUCUCUAUCUUGCUAAUCCCUUUUUUAAAAGGGCUACUUGGAUGAAGGUAUAAAAACCAGUAACUUAUGAAACCCUCGGUUGGUAUCAGUGAAUUCGCUUAUUACUCAAUGUUUGCUUGUUUGACUUCAAAAAGAAAACAAUUUACCACCUGUGUCAGUCUGACACCUGCUCUUUUCAAACCCUUUUGACAUGAUCUAAAUAAAUCUCUGAAAUCCCCCCCCCCCCUUUGUGUCUAUUGUCAGUAUUAGUUUCACCUAAAUUCAGGGCCUGUCAUCCUGUGUAACAGUUGAGGCUAAAUGAGGACAUUAAUUGGUGGAAAUGUGUUGCUUCAAAGGCAUUUUUAGGAAUAAAACUACAAAGAGCUUCAUAGUUGUAAUAUAGCUGAUUCGUCUUCAAAAAGUAUUCUGUUGUUUUCUUGAUAGUUUUAGGUUUUUAUAAGUAAGUUAUUAAGAAGUGAAUGUUUGUCUGAAAUACGUUGUUUUAAGUGAAAGGUGUUAUUUGUGUUCUGGGAGUAAGCUCUAGAAUCUCAAUGUCAGGUUAGUAUUUAAGUGGAGGUAGAGCUACUAGUUUUUGUUUAAAAUGUUUUUAUGAUACAGAAUUAUUCAGGAACUUGUGUAUUGAUCUGUUUGCCAGCAAUGCCAAUUCCCUCAAAAUUCAUAGUUUUCAAUUUUUGUUUUCUUCCCACUGUAAGUACCUUUGAGGACUCUCACCCAGUUAACAUUUGUUGUGUUCAAAUUGCAUGGUUCUCAACUUUUGCUAUACACUAGAAUCACCUGGGUAAUUUUUUAGAAGUCCUGUGGUUGUACCACAGAUGAGAAAAAAUACACCCUCUGGGAUGGGAUCCAAGCAUCUGUAUGUUUAAAAUUCACCAGGAGAUUCCAUGAUGUAGCCAGAGUCAUAAAUCACUGGUCUAGGAUGUUUUUCAGAUUAGGGACCAUUUAAAGAAAAGCUGUAGAUUUUCCUUCCAGAAACAUGGGUAUUAAUGAUUCCCUAAAGCCCCAAAUUAAGAACCCCUGUUCUAGGAGUAGCCUCAACAUGCUAGAUUUAAUUGUAAGCAGCUGGUUUAAGAAAUUAUGUAAGUUGCAAUGAUGAAUAUUCCUCGUCACUCACAAAUGUUAUUCAUCAAUUUAAAAAUUAAUAUGUAUCAAGUACUCAGUGUGUUCCAGGCAUGAUUUUAGUUACAAGGAGUACAGCAGCCAAUAAGAUAUUACAGUUUUCAGGGAGUUUUAUCCUACUAGGGAAGACAGAUAAGUAAAUAAUGACCGAAGGCUAGUUAACAAGUGCUAUAAAGAGAUAUAAAAAGGAAAGAGCCUAAGGAGAUUGAAAGUGAUGGUUAUGGGAGAGAGAUGUCUAUAUUAAUAGGGUGGUCAGGGAAAGCCUCUCUGAGGAGGUGACAGUUUGAAUGAGAUCUGUAUGAAGUGUGUGAGCAAGACCUGUGAAGAUCUUGAGGAAGAGCAUUCAAGGUGUAGAGAACACUUGCAAAGGCCCUAAGAUGGGACUGAGCCCGGUUUGUUGGAUUUUCAUCAGUAAGCCCGGGGUGGCAGGAGCAUGCAUGCUGAUCCAGGUAUAGAAUGAGUGGUAGAAGGUGAGAUCAGGAGCCCUGUAAGCUGUUGUAAGCAUCGUUGUUUUAAUUUGGUAGAAACUCAGUUAUAACUCAUUCUUAAAUAUUUAGCUUUAUGCUUAAAAUAAUUUAGAAAUAACCUUGGACUUCCAUCUUUUUAGAAAUAGCUGGAAGGUUAGCACUCAGUAUGUUGUAUUACUUCUCUGUGAAAGGAUCUACAGUAGACUGAACUUGUCUAUGUUAUGAGACUGCUCAUGUCUUUAUUCUUUAUAUUCAUAAUGCUGAACACAAGAUACUCGUGUUUUUUUUUUUUUUUUUU